CUGAUCCAACUUGGAAACCAGAACUUCAGCUGCAGUUCUUACCAAGAGCUGGUGAAGCUAAUGAGUGUGGAAGUUGCGAUGUCUCAAACAAUGACAAGGAAACUCAUCUACAGCAGCUUUAUCAAGGUGUACCUGACAAGAAAAAACGUAGAAGAUCCUGGAUGUAAUCAAAAUGUGAAUGGAAGUGAAGAAUGGCUAAACAAAAACAUUGGAAGUUUGUUU
Nematolebias whitei (Rio pearlfish) is the source of this 222-nucleotide long non-coding RNA. RefSeq lists it as uncharacterized. Lineage: Eukaryota; Metazoa; Chordata; Actinopteri; Cyprinodontiformes; Rivulidae. The transcript has 3 exons. The record is from RefSeq and is a predicted model, not a curated record.